RNAcentral lists this non-coding RNA (88 nucleotides) under Melghirimyces profundicolus. Lineage: Bacteria; Bacillati; Bacillota; Bacilli; Caryophanales; Thermoactinomycetaceae. The record is from RNAcentral.
GAGAGCCGUAUACAUCGAGGGGUGUACGUACGGUUCGGAGGGGAGGUCUUGGAAACCUAUCUUUGGAAUCGGAAACUGCUUACGCUAC